RNAcentral lists this long non-coding RNA (228 nucleotides) under Sorghum bicolor (sorghum). RNAcentral's name for it is "long non-coding RNA (SBIC_LNC016876)". The record is from RNAcentral. Lineage: Eukaryota; Viridiplantae; Streptophyta; Magnoliopsida; Poales; Poaceae.
AUGCUCUAUCCAUUUUAUGGAAGCUAUACAAAAAUUCUCACAAUUUUUGAACCAGCACAUGAUUUAAUACAUAAAAUCAAACAUAAUACAAAAACUGCAUAAAAGAAAAGAGAAAAAAAAACAGCACUGUGCUUCACUGACGGCCUGCUUGGACCCGGCCCAAGGCGGCCCGCGAGCACUCCCCCGCGCGAACUGCGCGCGCCCCUCCACACGCGACCACUGACGGGC